Molecule: transfer RNA, 73 nt
Filed under: Lysinibacter sp. HNR
Lineage: Bacteria; Bacillati; Actinomycetota; Actinomycetes; Micrococcales; Microbacteriaceae
Description: Frondihabitans sp. HNR tRNA-Arg
Rfam family: tRNA
About the family: Transfer RNA (tRNA) molecules are approximately 80 nucleotides in length.
Source: RNAcentral
GCCUCCGUAGCUCAGGGGAUAGAGCAACAGCCUUCUAAUCUGUUGGUCGCUGGUUCGAAUCCAGCCGGGGGCA